CCUGGCCUCAAGGGAUCCACCCACCUCGAAUUCCCAAAGUGCUGGGAUCACAGGUGUGAGCCACCGCGGACGACCUAUAAAAACUUUUAUCCCUUUCAUUUUCUCAUAGACUCCCGUUUAAGUUCUUGCUCUGUUUUGGGGGAAAGUGUUUAUUGUUUGAUUUUCUAAUAACGAAAACAUUAGAGUAGCUUCAUUUAUGCUGCCUGUUUCAAGCCAAUACACUGCUCAGUUGUGUUUGUGUAUUUGAAAAGUCCCCUGAUAGGAACUUUCUGAGGGGUGCCUGUGUUGUUGGCACAUUUGAGAACUAGACAAAAUCUAACUCUGUGUCUUUUUUCUUUCUUUUUCCCCUAUUAUUUGGUUUUGUUUUUUUAACAACCCCUCUGGAGUGUGUUUUGGUUCAUGGGAUCAGGCCACGUGCCCUGGUUUUCGAGGUAUAGCCUUGGCUUUCUUGGGUCGGGUCUAAUAACCCUGACCUUGGACUUCCCACGUGUCCUUCAAAGAAAGCAAUUAUUUUUGCCUAUUUUCUGAGUAUGAUGGUAUUCUCCAUUUGAUUUAACAAAAAAAUUCUUCCUCUGCUUUAAAAGACUGAAAGCCUCCCUGUAAGGUGCUGAUUGCCUUCCAGAUCUGAGGACCCCGUCUCUGCCUCAUUCCUCCUGUUUCCAUCAGAAGACACAGGUCUGGGACUCAGCGCAGCUGACCUGUCUGUCCCUCUCUGCACAGUUUACUCCUGGGCUCUGCAGAGAGAAGUCAGUGCCUCAAUUUUCCAUUGAAAUAUGCACCCUUGGCAUCCUGGCAGCCCACCCUGCUUGACGAGGUCAUCACUGGUGCUUAGGAGUAAACUGGAAUGGCAGACAGAGCCCAGUGGAUAUUGCAGAGGAACAGAAGGAAAAAGAUGUGCAUGACGCCUCAGUGCUUGCAGCAUUAAAGCAAAAAAAAAAAAAA
Molecule: long non-coding RNA, 942 nt
Filed under: Homo sapiens (human)
Lineage: Eukaryota; Metazoa; Chordata; Mammalia; Primates; Hominidae
Description: HSALNT0387445
Source: RNAcentral